Molecule: ribosomal RNA, 478 nt
Filed under: uncultured bacterium
Lineage: Bacteria
Description: bacterial SSU rRNA
Rfam family: Bacterial small subunit ribosomal RNA
Source: RNAcentral
GCUAUCACUCCUACGGGGAGGGCAGCAGUGGGGGAAUAUUNCACAAUGGGCGCAAGCCUGAUGCAGCCAUGCCGCGUGUAUGAAGAAGGCCUUCGGGUUGUAAAGUACUUUCAGCAGUAGGAAGGUGGGUAUGUUAAUAGCAUACUCAUUUGACGUUUAGCUGCAGAAGAAGCACCGGCUAACUCCGUGCCAGCAGCCGCGGUAAUACGGAGGGUGCGAGCGUUAAUCGGAAUUACUGGGCGUAAAGCGCAUGCAGGUGGUUUUGUUAAAGUCAGAUGUGAAAGCCCCGGGGCUCAACCUCGGAAUUGCAUUUGAAACUGGCAAACUAGAGUACUGUAGAGGGGGGUAGAAUUUCAGGUGUAGCGGUGAAAUGCGUAGAGAUCUGAAGGAAUACCGGUGGCGAAGGCGGCCCCCUGGACAAAGACUGACGCUCAGAUGCGAAAGCAUGGGGAGCAAACAGGAUUAGAUACCCUGGUAG